This 472-nucleotide ribosomal RNA is filed under the name uncultured organism. Its description in RNAcentral is "partial 16S ribosomal RNA". It matches the Rfam family "Bacterial small subunit ribosomal RNA", at positions 335 to 799 of the family's 1533-position model. The record is from RNAcentral.
ACUCCUACGGGAGGCAGCAGUGGGGAAUUUUGGACAAUGGGCGAAAGCCUGAUCCAGCCAUGCCGCGUGCAGGAUGAAGGCCUUCGGGUUGUAAACUGCUUUUGUACGGAACGAAACGGCCUUUUCUAAUAAAGAGGGCUAAUGACGGUACCGUAAGAAUAAGCACCGGCUAACUACGUGCCAGCAGCCGCGGUAAUACGUAGGGUGCAAGCGUUAAUCGGAAUUACUGGGCGUAAAGCGUGCGCAGGCGGUUAUGUAAGACAGUUGUGAAAUCCCCGGGCUCAACCUGGGAACUGCAUCUGUGACUGCAUAGCUAGAGUACGGUAGAGGUGGAUGGAAUUCCGCGUGUAGCAGUGAAAUGCGUAGAUAUGCGGAGGAACACCGAUGGCGAAGGCAAUCCCCUGGACCUGUACUGACGCUCAUGCACGAAAGCGUGGGGAGCAAACAGGAUUAGAAACCCUUGUAGUCCAUG